RNAcentral lists this ribosomal RNA (470 nucleotides) under Veillonella parvula. RNAcentral describes it as "bacterial SSU rRNA". It matches the Rfam family "Bacterial small subunit ribosomal RNA", at positions 28 to 472 of the family's 1533-position model. The record is from RNAcentral. Lineage: Bacteria; Bacillati; Bacillota; Negativicutes; Veillonellales; Veillonellaceae.
GACGAACGCGGCGGCGUGCUUAACACAUGCAAGUCGAACGAAGAGCGAUGGAAGCUUGCUUCUAUCAAUCUUAGUGGCGAACGGGUGAGUAACGCGUAAUCAACCUGCCCUUCAGAGGGGGACAACAGUUGGAAACGACUGCUAAUACCGCAUACGAUCUAACCUCGGCAUCGAGGAUAGAUGAAAGGUGGCCUCUACAUGUAAGCUAUCACUGAAGGAGGGGAUUGCGUCUGAUUAGCUAGUUGGAGGGGUAACGGCCCACCAAGGCGAUGAUCAGUAGCCGGUCUGAGAGGAUGAACGGCCACAUUGGGACUGAGACACGGCCCAGACUCCUACGGGAGGCAGCAGUGGGGAAUCUUCCGCAAUGGACGAAAGUCCGACGGAGCAACGCCGCGUGAGUGAUGACGGCCUUCGGGUUGUAAAGCUCUGUUAAUCGGGACGAAAGGCCUUCUUGCGAAUAGUGAGAAGGA